RNAcentral lists this long non-coding RNA (3259 nucleotides) under Capsicum annuum. Its description in RNAcentral is "long non-coding RNA (CANN_LNC010837)". The record is from RNAcentral. Lineage: Eukaryota; Viridiplantae; Streptophyta; Magnoliopsida; Solanales; Solanaceae.
UUGUAAUCUUCGCUUUUAAGAGUAUUACGUUAGUCUUUCCUGCCCCCCUCCCCAUUCUUCUCCUUGUUUUCAAGAAUGCCAAGAGAGUUGAAGUUCCCUUUUACACACUUUUUCUGGGUUUGUUUGUUGUAUUAUCUUCUUGAAGGAUGGGUAAGAAACCUCUCUACUGUUUUGUAUGAACAUGUCCCACUGCUUUAUGGCUUUGGUCUAGGGAUAAGUGUGCAACAACUGCUGUGUUAGAGACGCGCGUCACAAGUUUGAAUUAUGGCUUUUGUCUAGGGGUAGGUGUGCAACCAUUGAUGUGUCAGGUGUAUGUCACGAGUUCGAAUUAUGGCUUUGGUCUGGAGAUAAGAGUGCAACAAUGACUCUGUCGGGUGCGUGCCACAGGGUCGAAUUAUCCCUUUGGUCUAAGAAUAAGAGUGCAACAGUUGAUGUGUUAGAUGAAUGUACUGGUCCAAAUUAUGAUGCUGACUAGUAAAAGCUUGGUGUUUGAGCAUUGGAGAUUCUUGAUUAUAGAAGGCAAAAUCUAUCGACAAACACCGAAAGUUGAUACAAUUUUUACUCAAUUAUGAUUAAUUAUUAUGUAUUUUUAUUUCAUUAUUGUCUCAUUAACAUCCAAAUGAAGCUUCUUUGUCAUAGUUACUCUGAUGGAUGACCUCUAUUAGCAUUAUGUUAUCAACAACAAACCUAGUGUAUUCCCACAGCGUGGGGUCUGGGGAGGAUAAGAUGUACGCAGUCCAUACCGCUACCUCCGAAGAAGUAGAGAGGAUGUUUCCGAUAGACCCUCGGCUCAAGAUAAAGUAGUUAGCAUUAUGUUAUCACAACUACUUAUCUAAGUUCCUUCACUGGGUGUUUUCUAUUAUCUUUAGGAGUCCUAGUAUUUCUACUUUUCUCCUUCAAUUAAAUUUGUUUACUUUGUCCAUUAAGGGAUUCUUCCUAAAUGAUGAGUAAUUCAAGUGAGCCAUGGAUUAACAUCCAAAUGAAGCUUCUUUGUCAUAGUUACUCUGAUGGAUGACCUCUAUUAGCUCUAUUAGCAUUAUGUUAUCAACAACAAACCUAGUGUAUUCCCACAGCGUGGGGUCUGGGGAGGAUAAGAUGUACGCAGUCCAUACCGCUACCUCCGAAGAAGUAGAGAGGAUGUUUCCGAUAGACCCUCGACUCAAGAUAAAGUAGUUAGCAUUAUGUUAUCACAACUACUUAUCUAAGUUCCUUCACUGGGUGUUUUCUAUGCUUCAUUUAGUCAGGUACUUGUUUCUAUUAUCUUUUAGGGGUUCUCUUUCAUUGAUGAAUGAUCUAUACAAGAACUCGUACUUCUUGAUUUAUAUGAUAUGUAUGAUCUUUAGGAGUCCUAGUACUUCUACUUUUCUCCUUCAAUUAAAUUUGUUUACUUUUUCCGUGAAGGGAUUCAUCCUAAAUGAUGAGUAAUUCAAGUGAGCCAUGGAUUAACAUCCAAAUGAUUCUUUUUUUCAUAGUUACUCUGAUGGAUUACCUCUAUUAGCACCAAGUUGUCAUAACUACUUAUCUUAUGAAGUUUCUCUAUAUGUUUUUUAUGCUUCAUUUUGUUAAGUUCUUGUUUCUGCUAUGUAUUAUCGAAGGGCUCUCUUUCGUUGGUGAAUGAUCUAUACAAGAAGUCAUACUUCUUGUUUUAUUGUAUGUAUUAUCUUGAGUCUUCAUACUUCUUGCUAUUCUCCGUCAUUGAAUUUAUUUACCCUGUGCAUGAAGGAAUUCAUUCUAAAUGAUGAGUAAUACUAUUAAGCCAUGGAUUAAAUUCCAAUUGAAGCUUUUUGUCAUAGUUACUCUGAUAGAUGAGACCUAUUAGCCUAUGUUAUGCUUGCAACUAUGUAUUAUCCUAGAUGUUUUGCUUUACUGCUUGCUGCUGAUCCUUUGAUUUAAGGUACUAGCAUAUUCCUCCCAAAAUUUGCUAAUAUGCAUGGUUUUCUAGUUGAAAGGAUCAUAGUAUCGUUUUAGUAUGAGAACAGUUGCAUGUUAAAUUAAAAAGUAAAUGCAAACAAGGCAACUUUGCCGAGGGGUUCUGUAUUUGUUGAUCCCCUCUUUUUCCCUGUUGCCAAUAUUAUAAUUGGACAAGCUUGGAACAAUUUUAGUUGUUGAACUAAUAUAUGUUUCCCACCAGCUGGUUUCUAGCUUGGCUACAUUCUCCAUCUUCUCUUUUGAUUGGACAAUUUUUGUAAAUCUGCAUAUGUUUAGCUUAUAUUUCAAAAGUUCUUUUUUUGGUUGUCUCAGGCUCUCUUUCGUUGGUGAAUGAUCUAUAAAAGAAGUCAUACUUCUUGUUUUAUUGUAUGUAUUAUCUUGAGUCUUCAUACUUCUUGCUAUUCUCCGUCAUUGAAUUUAUUUACCCUGUGCAUGAAGGAAUUCAUUCUAAAUGAUGAGUAAUACUAUUAAGCCAUGGAUUAAAUUCCAAAUGAAGCUUUUUGUCAUAGUUACUCUGAUAGAUGAGACCUAUUAGCCUAUGUUAUGCUUGCAACUAUGUAUUAUCCUAGAUGUUUUGCUUUACUGCUUGUUGCUGAUCCUUUGAUUUAAGGCACUAGCAUAUUCCUCCCAAAAUUUGCUAAUAUGCAUGGUUUUCUAGUUGAAAGGAUCACAGUAUCGUUUUAGUAUGAGAACAGUUGCAUGUUAAAUUAAAAAGUAAAUGCAAACAAGGCAACUUUGCCGAGGGGUUCUGUAUUUGUUGAUCCCCUCUUUUUCCCUGUUGCCAAUAUUAUAAUUGGACAAGCUUGGAACAAUUUUAGUUGUUGAACUAAUAUAUGUUUCCCACCAGCUGGUUUCUAGCUUGGCUACAUUCUCCAUCUUCUCUUUUGAUUGGACAAUUUUUGUAAAUCUGCAUAUGUUUAGCUUAUAUUUCAAAAGUUCUUUUUUUGGUUGUCUCAACUUCCCGAUCAGUUGAUCACAUUUCUAUUGUAAUCCCUUUUUUCAAUAGUCUCUAUGAUUUCUUUUGUAAUCUUCACUUUUAAGAGUAUUACGUAAGUCUUUCCUGCUCCCCUCCCCAUUCUUCUCCUUGUUUUCAAGAAUGCCAAGAGAGUUGAAGUUCCCUUUUACACACUUUUUUUGGGUUUGUUUGUUGUAUUAUUUUCUUGAAGGAUGGGUAAGAAACCUCUCUACUGUUUUGUAUGAACAUGUCCCACUGCUUUAUGGCUUUGGUCUAGGGAUAAGUGUGCAACAACUGCUGUGUUAGAGACGCGCGUCACAAGUUUGAAUUAUGGCUUUUGUCUAGGGGUAGGUGUGCAACCAUUGAUGUGUCAGG